ACGGAGGGGGUUAGCGUUGUUCGGAAUUAAUGGGCGUAAAGCGCACGUAGGCGGAUUAGUAAGUCAGAGGUGAAAUCCCAGGGCUCAACCUUGGAACUGCCUUUGAUACUGCUAAUCUUGAGUUCGAGAGAGGUGAGCGGAAUUCCGAGUGUAGAGGUGAAAUUCGUAGAUAUUCGGAGGAACACCAGUGGCGAAGGCGGCUCACUGGCUCGAUACUGACGCUGAGGUGCGAAAGCGUGGGGAGCAAACAGG
This 252-nucleotide ribosomal RNA is filed under the name uncultured bacterium. Its description in RNAcentral is "partial 16S ribosomal RNA". It matches the Rfam family "Bacterial small subunit ribosomal RNA", at positions 525 to 776 of the family's 1533-position model. The record is from RNAcentral.